ACUUAGUAGACUUCUUCGGAAAGACACUAAGCGGAUUAGUGGCGAACGGGUGAGUAACGCGUGAGUAACCUGCCUUACACAAGGGGAUAGCCUUUGGAAACGAAGAAUAAUACCCUAUAAAACCAUAAAAGCACAUGCUAGAAUGGUCAAAGUGAUAGCGGUGUAAGAUGGACUUGCGUCUGAUUAGCUAGUUGGUGAGAUAAAAGCUCACCAAGGCAACGAUCAGUAGCCGGCUUGAGAGAGUGUACGGCCACAUUGGGACUGAGACACGGCCCAGACUCCUACGGGAGGCAGCAGUGGGGAAUUUUGCACAAUGGGGGAAACCCUGAUGCAGCGACGCCGCGUGAUUUAGAAGGCCUUCGGGUUGUAAAAAUCUUUUGUAUAGGAAGAAAAUGACAGUACUAUACGAAUAAGGUCCGGCUAAUUACGUGCCAGCAGCCGCGGUAAUACGUAAGGACCGAGCGUUGUCCGGAAUCAUUGGGCGUAAAGGGUACGUAGGCGGCUAGAAAAGUUAGAAGUCAAAGGCUAUAGCUCAACUAUAGUAAGCUUCUAAAACUAUUUAGCUUGAGAAACGGAAGGGAAAGUGGAAUUCCUAGUGUAGCGGUGGAAUGCGCAGAUAUUAGGAAGAAUACCGGUGGCGAAGGCGACUUUCUGGC
This 656-nucleotide ribosomal RNA is filed under the name uncultured Eubacteriales bacterium. Its description in RNAcentral is "bacterial SSU rRNA". It matches the Rfam family "Bacterial small subunit ribosomal RNA", at positions 66 to 733 of the family's 1533-position model. Lineage: Bacteria; Bacillati; Bacillota; Clostridia; Eubacteriales. The record is from RNAcentral.